GAGGGUAUGGCUCAGUGGUAGAGUGCAUGCCUAGCAUGCAUGAGGUCCUAGGUUCAAUCUCUAGUACUUCCA
RNAcentral lists this transfer RNA (72 nucleotides) under Camelus bactrianus (Bactrian camel). It matches the Rfam family "tRNA". From Rfam's summary of the family: Transfer RNA (tRNA) molecules are approximately 80 nucleotides in length. Their secondary structure includes four short double-helical elements and three loops (D, anti-codon, and T loops). Lineage: Eukaryota; Metazoa; Chordata; Mammalia; Artiodactyla; Camelidae. RNAcentral also lists the same sequence under 1 other name. The record is from Rfam by way of RNAcentral.